This is a small nuclear RNA of Monodelphis domestica (gray short-tailed opossum), 92 nucleotides long. The record is from Ensembl. NCBI's taxonomy places the organism in Eukaryota, Metazoa, Chordata, Mammalia, Didelphimorphia, Didelphidae.
GUGCUCGCUGCAGCAGCACAAGUACUAAGUACAGAGAUUAGCAUGGCCCCUGUGCAAGGAUGACACAAAUUCAUGAAGUGUUCCAUAUUUUU